CACCCGAUGACUGAAAAUUAAGUGUAGGUCUUUUAAACCUAUUAUAGUAUAUAAUACUUCUGGUGA
This 66-nucleotide transfer RNA is filed under the name Stemonopa insignis. Its description in RNAcentral is "tRNA-Lys". Lineage: Eukaryota; Metazoa; Arthropoda; Malacostraca; Decapoda; Albuneidae. The record is from RNAcentral.